This is a long non-coding RNA of Phlebotomus argentipes, 2964 nucleotides long. RefSeq lists it as uncharacterized. The transcript is spliced from 3 exons. The record is from RefSeq and is a predicted model, not a curated record. Lineage: Eukaryota; Metazoa; Arthropoda; Insecta; Diptera; Psychodidae.
UAUUGAUAAUCCAACUCUGCUCAAUCUCAAUUCGUGACUCAAUCGCGGCGCGAAGGUGAGGUUUUGUUCUCCCUCUCUCCGAUAAAGAUCUUACUUGUCUCUCAUUCAGUGCUUUGCGAUUCACAGCUCAGUAAUCUCACAAACCGCGCUCACAACACCGGCAAAUCUUUCGCGACGAACAAGCUCCGGGGGAUCAUCGGACCAUGUGCCAAUGAUCCCCUGCGUGUUUGUGGUGAAUAAGUGUCGUAAAAACUGUCGCAGUAGCCCCAAAAUUUUUCUAAAGGUUCCAGAAGAUGCCCGUCUACAGUAUUAUUACACGUCGGCAAAAGGACGUACUAUCUGCGCCCGAGCUCUGCCCCAGUCAGCCGAAUGAUUACAGUGUGAGAAUGAUAUUGUAUACACAUCUUCUAUUUUAUAAGAGCUGAGAAUUUUCGAUAUGUAUGUGACCUUUCUUCUUGUAGACAUAUAAAAGUAAUGUGUUUUUUUCUAUAAUAUUUUUCCUAAUUCAUAAUGCCAUGUACACAACUGAACUAAGAACUAAUCAAAAACAAUUACAUGCAAUGCAUUUUCAAAAAAUUUUCAUUGAAAAUGUGAUCAAAGUGGUUUACUUGACAUUAAAUUUGCUAAGUUUCCCAUAAUCACAUUGAGAAUUUCUCAAAAACUUACAUAUGUUGACUCUUUAGAGAAUAGAUUCAUAAUACUAAACUCUUUACAAAUAAUACAAAUCGGAUCCUUGUUGUAUACUUCGAUCACUUUUGGCCAUUGACAGAUCCAUGGAAAGCCAAGAACCGAGUGAGCCAAGAGUAUUUGCUAAUUAACUAUAAUUUGACAGACAUUUUCACUCGCAAAAACCAUCCUUCAUUAUACUCACAUACACUAAAUACAAUAUGAAUUAUACUAAAUGUGUUUAGAUAGAAAAAUAUUAAAAAUCAGCCCGGUAGUAAAGGCAUUUGCAGCAUUACAUUUUCGGGAUAUCAAAAAACAUAUUUUAGCUUAUAAACUCUCAAAAUUUAAUUUACUUGUCAUUUGUGUUAAAAAGCAACAUGUAAUAUCAAUUUCUUGAUGCAUCAUAUUUCGGGAAAACUAUUAUGUAUCAUUUUAUUCAUAUUCCUCUUCAAAUAUCUUAGAGAACACAUAAAAAUGUUGAGCUGUGAACGUACGAAAAUUUAUUUAUAGCACAAAGUCAAAUUGGAAACGAAUGAAAUUAUUUCAAUAUAUGAAGAAAAAAGACAUACAUAUACGACGUUAAUUUGACUGAAAAGUACGACUUAUUGUACCAAAAUUGCAAAAUAUCAUGUCUUAUCUGACUGGAGACUCACAGAUAAAACAGAAGUUUAUUUUUGUUAUCAGUAGAUUAAGGUGUCUUAAUGUUCAAAUCUUGUAUCGCAGAAUCCCGUAUCAUAUCUUAACAGUUUUUUGCAUUAAACAUUAUCUGUGCCAAGUUUGCUCAUUAUUGUAAUACUCUUUUCCCCCAAUCAAAUUUCCCGUGAAUUGUAAAAUAUGGCAACUUACUUGCCUAUGUUCUCACACAAACGUUUUCGGAAUGAAAACCUAUCGGUGAAUCGUGAAGCCUUGCAUGUGCAUACUUAAUUGCACACUCAUGCUCAGUCGACCUUUAUUUGCACGUGCCCAGCAUGCUAUUGAGAACAACAACAAUUAUUUUGAGACUACCAAUAAAAUGAUUGCUUAUAUUACGUCACACAUUUAAUGUAUGUAUCAAACAAGACGGUAGCAAUUUUAUAACUCUAGAAUACUGAAUAUAUUAUAUGUUCUUGUAUUUUCCUGUCAUUAUUAUGUGUCAUUUUAAUGUUUUUGGCUGUUCGCUCAUUAUUUCAACUAAUCAUAAUAUUUUGUUAAAAAAAAUUUAUAACUUUAUUAAACGUUGAUUGUUUUCACGGCGGCAGACUAUCGCUAUGCCGACCAACUGUAAGUGGUUCUAGAACCCACCCAGCCGAAUUUGAUAUGAUUAGACACCGUAGAACAUAAAUGGAAUUCCGAAUCACACAACUUCACAGCAGUAUUAACGCCAUUUUACUCAAGAAAUGUUACUUAUCUGCUUCUUUUCAUUUUCAGUUAUCAAAAUUUUUUACAUUACGUUUAUCAAAAAUCGCUGAAUAUACAUUUAUUCUAGUAUCAUUUGCAGCCAUCGCCGUAUUUUCAUCAAUAAAUUUGCGCGUCAGUGCGCUAAAUAAAACUCUGCGCAAAUUUUGCCUUAUUGUAUGCAAGUUGAGAGUAAAAAAUUAAAUUAUAAUAUUAUAUGAAUUGGCUUUUAUAUCUACUCCAAUCGAAUAGACUUUACGCCUAAGGCGAUUGAAUAUAUUUCAAGAUUUUUGUUACCAAAAGUAGUCCCAAGUUUUUCUCCUUUUUUUCCUGUCAUUUCUCCCAUCCUCACUUCACACUUUCUUCUUCAGUGACAUUUCGUUAUACUGGAUUGUACAACUAUCAGGAAAGAAUGCAAACAGUUUUGGUGGAAAAAUUCGUUGGCAUUUUUGUCAAAGCAGUUAUGUAGAAAUCUGCAAUAUUUGGUUGCGCAAUGGAAAUUUUCGAUCCAAUUGCGUUCACAAGUUGCCAACAGCGCAGCUCUAUUUGUGCUUACACCUAUGCUGUAAACCAUUACACCAAUGUGUUUGGGCCAGACUAUUCUUAGAUGAUUGUAUGCUAUUUUCAUCCGAAAACUAUUCUAAGUUUAUAUCCAGAAAAGUUCGGUAGAAAAUAUCCUUGUCUCUUAAAGCGACAAGAGAAAUUAUAUAUAAUUAGAAGAUCCAACCAAAAAAUCUUUAAUGGAAUAAGAAAAAAAUAGAUGUGACCUGAACAGCGUAGGGCUGAAAAAUAAAUAUACUCUGCGGCAGAAUCAAGCAAAUUUCUAUUUUUCAUCAAUAAGAAUUAUCUUUAUAAUAUUGUGAAGAAAAAAUUUUAAAACAAUAUUUUCCACACCUUACAACUACGUUAAAUGAUUAUUUUUUU